GACGAACGCUGGCGGCGUGCCUAAUACAUGCAAGUUGAGCGCUGAAGGUUGGUACUUGUACCGACUGGAUGAGCAGCGAACGGGUGAGUAACGCGUGGGGAAUCUGCCUUUGAGCGGGGGACAACAUUUGGAAACGAAUGCUAAUACCGCAUAAAAACUUUAAACACAAGUUUUAAGUUUGAAAGAUGCAAUUGCAUCACUCAAAGAUGAUCCCGCGUUGUAUUAGCUAGUUGGUGAGGUAAAGGCUCACCAAGGCGAUGAUACAUAGCCGACCUGAGAGGGUGGUCGGCCCCAUUGGGACUGAGACACGGCCCAAACUCCUACGGGAGGCAGCAGUAGGGGAUCUUCGGCAAUGGACGAAAGUCUGACCGAGCAACGCCGCGUGAGUGGAGAAGGGUUUCGGAUCGUAAAACUCUGUUGGUAGGGAAGAACGUUGGUGAGAGUGGAAAGCUCAUCAAGUGACGGUAACUACCCAGAAAGGGACGGCUAACUACGUG
Molecule: ribosomal RNA, 497 nt
Filed under: uncultured bacterium
Lineage: Bacteria
Description: partial 16S ribosomal RNA
Rfam family: Bacterial small subunit ribosomal RNA
Source: RNAcentral